RNAcentral lists this ribosomal RNA (301 nucleotides) under uncultured bacterium. RNAcentral describes it as "partial 16S ribosomal RNA". It matches the Rfam family "Bacterial small subunit ribosomal RNA", at positions 509 to 807 of the family's 1533-position model. The record is from RNAcentral.
CAGCCGCCGCGGGAAUACGAAGGGUGCAAGCGUUACUCGGAAUUACUGGGCGUAAAGCGUGCGUAGGCGGCUUGGUAAGUUAGAGGUGAAAGCCCGGAGCUCAACUCCGGAAUUGCCUUUAAGACUGCCGAGCUAGCAGGUGAGAGAGGUAAGUGGAAUUCCGAGUGUAGAGGUGAAAUUCGUAGAUAUCAGGAGGAACACCUGUGGCGAAAGCGGCUCACUGGACCAUAACUGACGCUGAGGCACGAAAGCUAGGGGAGCAAACAGGAUUAGAUACCCCUGUAGUCCCUGUCUCUUAUAC